CUCUGUAGCAAUGUAAAAUUAUUUCUAGCGUGCGUCUGCUCGGCUCGGAUGUGGUGCUCGAGAGAAUAGAGUGCGCCCGGCACACUGUUCAUGCUGCAAGAGCAGGGCAGCGGAGUGGAUGGCUGUUUGGUGCCAGGCCUUUUCUCGAGAUGGUUGGCAUGGGGCCUCACCUACAACAUCGGUCUUCAUGACGAAUGUAUCGGAUAGAUUGUUCUCAUCCCUGGGGAAGACGGAGGACCAGGGAGGAGAUGGUCUGUGUGUAAGGGU
RNAcentral lists this long non-coding RNA (267 nucleotides) under Setaria viridis. Its description in RNAcentral is "long non-coding RNA (SVIR_LNC009847)". Lineage: Eukaryota; Viridiplantae; Streptophyta; Magnoliopsida; Poales; Poaceae. The record is from RNAcentral.